CAUGUAGGCGGAUUAAUAAGUUUGAAGUGAAAUCCUAUAGCUUAACUAUAGAACUGCUUUGAAAACUGUUAAUCUAGAAUGUGGGAGAGGUAAGUGGAAUUCCUAGUGUAGAGGUGAAAUUCGUAGAUAUUAGGAGGAACACCAGUGGCGAAGGCGACCACCUGGACUGAUACUGACACUGAGGUGCGAAAGCGUGGGGAGCAAACA
Molecule: ribosomal RNA, 207 nt
Filed under: uncultured bacterium
Lineage: Bacteria
Description: partial 16S ribosomal RNA
Rfam family: Bacterial small subunit ribosomal RNA
Source: RNAcentral